GCAAGUCGAGGGGUAACAGGUUUUAGUUUACUAAGAUGCUGACGACCGGCGCACGGGUGCGUAACGCGUAUGCAACCUGCCUUACACUGGGGGAUAGCCCGGAGAAAUCCGGAUUAAUACCCCAUAAUAUGAUUGAAUCGCAUGGUUUGAUUAUUAAAGAUUUAUUGGUGUGAGAUGGGCAUGCGUUAGAUUAGCUAGAUGGUAAGGUAAUGGCUUACCAUGGCGACGAUCUAUAGCGGGUCUGAGAGGAUGAUC
Molecule: ribosomal RNA, 255 nt
Filed under: uncultured bacterium
Lineage: Bacteria
Description: partial 16S ribosomal RNA
Rfam family: Bacterial small subunit ribosomal RNA
Source: RNAcentral